GUCCACGCCGUAAACGAUGGGUACUAGGUGCUUGGGGGAGCGACCCCCCGAGUGCCGGCGCUAACGCAUUAAGUACCCCGCCUGGGGAGUACGACCGCAAGGUUGAAACUCAAAGGAAUUGACGGGGGCCCGCACAAGCGGUGGAGCAUGUGGUUUAAUUCGACGCAACGCGAAGAACCUUACCCAGGCUUGACAUGUAUGAGAAAGCCUCUGGAAACAGGGGCCCCUCUUCGGAGCUCAUGCACAGGUGCUGCAUGGCUGUCGU
This 265-nucleotide ribosomal RNA is filed under the name uncultured bacterium. RNAcentral describes it as "partial 16S ribosomal RNA". It matches the Rfam family "Bacterial small subunit ribosomal RNA", at positions 793 to 1055 of the family's 1533-position model. The record is from RNAcentral.